RNAcentral lists this ribosomal RNA (492 nucleotides) under uncultured bacterium. Its description in RNAcentral is "partial 16S ribosomal RNA". It matches the Rfam family "Bacterial small subunit ribosomal RNA", at positions 29 to 507 of the family's 1533-position model. The record is from RNAcentral.
AGUGAACGCUGGCGAUAGGCCUAACACAUGCAAGUCGAACGGCAGCACAGUAAGAGCUUGCUCUUACGGGUGGCGAGUGGCGGACGGGUGAGGAAUACAUCGGAAUCUACUUUUUCGUGGGGGAUAACGUAGGGAAACUUACGCUAAUACCGCAUACGACCUACGGGUGAAAGCAGGGGAUCUUCGGACCUUGCGCGAUUGAAUGAGCCGAUGUCGGAUUAGCUAGUUGGCGGGGUAAAGGCCCACCAAGGCGACGAUCCGUAGCUGGUCUGAGAGGAUGAUCAGCCACACUGGAACUGAGACACGGUCCAGACUCCUACGGGAGGCAGCAGUGGGGAAUAUUGGACAAUGGGCGCAAGCCUGAUCCAGCCAUACCGCGUGGGUGAAGAAGGCCUUCGGGUUGUAAAGCCCUUUUGUUGGGAAAGAAAAGCAGCAGGUUAAUACCCCGCUGUUAUGACGGUACCCAAAGAAUAAGCACCGGCUAACUUCGUG